This 429-nucleotide ribosomal RNA is filed under the name uncultured bacterium. Its description in RNAcentral is "bacterial SSU rRNA". It matches the Rfam family "Bacterial small subunit ribosomal RNA", at positions 957 to 1391 of the family's 1533-position model. The record is from RNAcentral.
GAACGCGAAGAACCUUACCUACCCUUGACAUGUCUGGAAUCCUGAAGAGAUUUGGGAGUGCUCGAAAGAGAGCCAGAACACAGGUGCUGCAUGGCCGUCGUCAGCUCGUGUCGUGAGAUGUUGGGUUAAGUCCCGCAACGAGCGCAACCCUUGUCAUUAGUUGCUACGAAAGGGCACUCUAAUGAGACUGCCGGUGACAAACCGGAGGAAGGUGGGGAUGACGUCAGGUCAUCAUGGCCCUUAUGGGUAGGCUACACACGUCAUACAAUGGCCGGGACAGAGGGCUGCCAACCCGCGAGGGGGAGCUAAUCCCAGAAACCCGGUCGUAGUCCGGAUCGUAGUCUGCAACUCGACUGCGUGAAGUCGGAAUCGCUAGUAAUCGCGGAUCAGCUUGCCGCGGUGAAUACGUUCCCGGGUCUUGUACACACC